UCAAUAAGCGGAGGAAAAGAA
Molecule: small nuclear RNA, 21 nt
Filed under: Arabidopsis thaliana (thale cress)
Lineage: Eukaryota; Viridiplantae; Streptophyta; Magnoliopsida; Brassicales; Brassicaceae
Description: snRNA_08786
Source: RNAcentral